AUUGAACGCUGGCGGCAGGCCUAACACAUGCAAGUCGAGCGGAUGAAGGGAGCUUGCUCCUGGAUUCAGCGGCGGACGGGUGAGUAAUGCCUAGGAAUCUGCCUGGUAGUGGGGGAUAACGUCCGGAAACGGGCGCUAAUACCUCAUACGUCCUGAGGAGGAACGUGGGGAUCCUUGGUCCUUACGGUUUUCGGUUUACCUAAGUCGGAUUAGCUAGUUGGUGGGGUUAAGGCCUACCAAGGCGACGAUCCGUAACUGGUCUGAGAGGAUGAUCAGUCACACUGGAACUGAGACACGGUCCAGACUCCUACGGGAGGCAGCAGUGGGGAAUAUUGGACAAUGGGCGAAAGCCUGAUCCAGCCAUGCCGCGUGAGUGAAGAAGGUCUUCGGAUUGUAAAGCACUUUAAGUUGGGAGGAAGAGCAGUAAGUUAAUACCUUGCUGUUUUGACGUUACCAACAGAAUAAGCACCGGCUAACUUCGUG
Molecule: ribosomal RNA, 483 nt
Filed under: uncultured bacterium
Lineage: Bacteria
Description: partial 16S ribosomal RNA
Rfam family: Bacterial small subunit ribosomal RNA
Source: RNAcentral